Manis pentadactyla (Chinese pangolin) is the source of this 164-nucleotide small nuclear RNA. RefSeq annotates it as U1 spliceosomal RNA. The transcript has a single exon. NCBI's taxonomy places the organism in Eukaryota, Metazoa, Chordata, Mammalia, Pholidota, Manidae. The record is from RefSeq and is a predicted model, not a curated record.
GUACUUACUUGGCAAGGGAGAUACCGUGAUCACAAAGGUGGUUUUCCCAGGGCGAGGCUGAUCCAUUGCUCUCCAGAUGUGCUGACCCCUGAGAUUUCCCCAAACGUGGGAAACUCGACUGCGUCAUUUGUGGUACUGGGGGACUAUGUUCACACUUUCCCCUG